This 385-nucleotide ribosomal RNA is filed under the name uncultured archaeon. Its description in RNAcentral is "bacterial SSU rRNA". It matches the Rfam family "Archaeal small subunit ribosomal RNA", at positions 441 to 825 of the family's 1478-position model. The record is from RNAcentral.
GCCGGGCAAGACCGGUGCCAGCCGCCGCGGUAACACCGGCGGCUCGAGUGGUAACCGUUAUUAUUGGGUCUAAAGGGUCUGUAGCCGGCCGGAUAAGUCUCUUGAGAAAUCUGGCAGCUUAACUGUCAGGCUUUCAGGAGAUACUGUCUGGCUCGAGGCCGGGAGAGGUGAGAGGUACUUCAGGGGUAGGGGUGAAAUCUUGUAAUCCUUGAAGGACCACCAGUGGCGAAGGCGUCUCACCAGAACGGACCUGACGGCAAGGGACGAAAGCUAGGGGCACGAACCGGAUUAGAUACCCGGGUAGUCCUAGCCGUAAACGAUACUCGCUAGGUGUCGGCCACGGUGCGACCGUUGUCGGUGCCGUAGGGAAGCCGUGAAGCGAGCC